CUUGUGCCUGAAGUGUCUUUGGUUGUUAAUGAUACCCCAGUUCUCCUGCAGGGGAGCAGCGGGCUGUGUCUUGCAAAGGUUGUUGGAAGAUUCCCCUCACAGGGGAAGAAAAACACUUAGAUGGUGCUUUAAGGCAAAUAAUAGAGCUGAUACAACAAGUCACAAAGCAGUGGGGUGGCAGAAAGAUAAUGUCUUUGAAAAUAUUAAUAGAUUUAGAAUGUUCUUUUACAUUGGUUGAUGAGAUUUAUAGUUAUCAGGUAUUUUUUUUAUGAUGAUGAUUAUUAUUCAUACCGUUUGGAUCUAAGAUAAAGCCUGUAGCUAUACUUGUUUUUUACUUAAACCUCCAGCUGUUCAAAAUCUUGCUUCUGCUUCGCAGUGGGUGAUCUGGAGGCAACUCGCAUGUGAUCUAAAUAUUAUUCACUAUUCAAGAAAAUGUCGGGCGACUCACGGACCCGUAUUUCUGGAGCUAUGAGCAUCUGCCUUUGUGAAAGUUAUUUUUUUCUUACAGUGGAGCUGGGGGGACGUUCUGUCCUGUGAACCAUAGAAAGUAGGAGCUAUUUCACCCAUGUUAACUCUUGGUGUGAAUUACCUUUGUAAGCUCCACUUUUUUGGAAAAACGAUGUUCGUUCUCAAACCCAAUUGCCCGGUCCCCUACCUUCACAGGCUGUUAUGAGAAUUUCUGCAAUGAGAUCGUCUUGACCCCAAAACAAGUUCUUUUGGGUUUUUAUAAUAUUUACAAGUCUUGUAAAUAUUAUAAGAGAAAAACUGUUACCUACCUGCUCAUCUGUGUGAGAGAAAUUCAAGCAGGGCUCGAGGACAUCGUCGAUGUUUUUGUUUAUACACUUGUCUGCUUACACCAAAGGAAAACGAGUUAUCAACCAAUUUGGAAGCAGAAUUAGAGUGGAAUGAUAUGGAGAAUGACUAUGAUAUGAACACAAUCUUUAAAUAGUGGAAGUGAAUUAAAACCUAAUAUCCAAAGACGUAUACAAAUAAAGCUUGGUCACAGCUGUAGAAAAAUGCAUAGGGAUGCAGAAAAGCCCUGUAUUGUAAUUUGUGUUUUUGUCCUGGUGGGAACUCAUUUAAUUAGUGCAAGAAGGUAUUGAAUUUUAGCUUAUCAUGCAUAUUGUUUUCCAGCUGUACUGAAGAUUGCCAAGUUUCUAAUGGCCUGACCCUGUUCUGUAAAUCAGCAGUAAAUUGCGGCAUUUACACUGAGCAAAGGCAAAGGGCUCAUUCUGUUGGGUUUGUGCUGUCACAGGAACCUGGGCUAAGGGAUUAAUGGGCUGAUGUUAAACAUCUGUCCCCUGUCUUUGGGGGGACGUAAACACACAAAGAGGGAAUCUAAUGCCAUCUACUAAAAGAUCUUCAAUGAGAGGAAGCCCUUGCUAGCAUUUCCAUCCAGUGGCACCUUAGACACAUUGCCUCUUUAUGCUAAAACCCCACAGCACUAAGGGCCCUAUAAAUAGUCUCCAUGUGACAGCUCGGAGAAGAAGAGAGGUUUCCUCCAGACAUUAGUUGUGCUAAAAGAUUCAUCAUUACCUGCAGUCAUGAAAUAAAUCUUUGAUACUUACAACUAUAAUAUCCAUGCUCUACGUUUUAUUGCAGAUAUAGGUAGACAGUCAUUAUUUCUGACACUUUCUCAGCAUUACAAGGAGGACUCUAGGGGAAAAACUAGUGUACAGUGUUACAGAAAGAGAUUGAUAUAACCACAUGGAAGCCGGUUCCUUUACUGAGCCAUUGUAACCAAUACAAUAUUCCCUUAAUGAUAUUAAACAAUCACGUAGAUUCCAAAUUCGAUGUUAAGACUCUUCCCUAAAAACAACCACCACCUCAGUUAUCUACAAAUUAAGUUGCCAAGAGGGAAAUUUGUUUAUUUUUUUACAUCAUAUGGUCGUUUAGAAGAAAUACAUUCCUGAAUGAGAAUGGAUUUUUUUUUCUUUUUUUAGCAUUCCAGUUUAUUAUUAUUUAGGGGACAUUAAAACAAGACAUUGGUCAACAGCGAUCACUUUAUAGCACUUGUGGGACAUCAGAAAUCAGCAUGUCGAGAAGCCUCCUGUUAAGAGGCCUUGGAGUGGUUAUUGUACAGUAGAUAUUGGUGUCACAUAAAUUGCAAUAACAUGAUACGGCAGACAGACAGAGGUGUUAAAGUUGUCUUUGGCCAUGAGCUAUUCAAGAGAGAGGCUCUUGUGUGUGUGUUUUAGUCCAACAAGUGAGUUAUGGAAUCCUGUAAGAGGCCUUUUCUUACCCGUAAGUUGCUGCUUUUAGCAAUGGUGGUCUCCUUUUCCAAAUUGCCAACGUAACAAUGAGGGCAGCAUUUCAGCUUCCUUUUUUUAUCCGUCCCUUGUUGCUAAAUUAGCAUGCGCCCUACCGCAGCAGCUCUGGGAGGCCAGCUGGUACACCUGGGGACCACCUGCUUUCACAGACCAGUCCCUGGACCACUGAACUCGACUACUAGUAGCCACUUCUGAAAAGAGUCAUCAAUUCAAAAGGAAGCGUCGCGUGUGCAUAUUUAAAGCCACGAUAAUUAUUGGUAGCCUCUGCAUAACAAAUGUAAUUUCAAUUAGACUCUUUUUCUAAAUUAAAAACUAUUGCUUGUGUGU
This is a long non-coding RNA of Pteropus alecto (black flying fox), 2597 nucleotides long. RefSeq lists it as uncharacterized. Lineage: Eukaryota; Metazoa; Chordata; Mammalia; Chiroptera; Pteropodidae. The transcript has 2 exons. The record is from RefSeq and is a predicted model, not a curated record.